Molecule: long non-coding RNA, 4369 nt
Organism: Solanum pennellii
Lineage: Eukaryota; Viridiplantae; Streptophyta; Magnoliopsida; Solanales; Solanaceae
Exons: 2
Source: RefSeq, a predicted model, not a curated record
UUGAUAUUUUUACAUGAUUUUUUGCCUUUAUUACUUCAUUUUUCCCUCUAACAAAUGUUUGCGUAUGUACAACAUUCCUUUCCCAUCUCUUCAAUCACGUCAAAAACCCUUCAAUCCCCUUAAACACUUCAUCUUCUCGCCAGUUCUAUUUAUCGUCCCUCUCUCUUUCUUUCUUCUUUACCGCUUCUCUUUUCCCUUCUCUCCUUGCCUAUUUCUCUAUGACCAGAACCCGUUCCAUGGCAUCCAAAAGCACUGAUUCAGGCAACACCUCCGAUCUCUUCGGAUGUGAUACCAUCUCUCUUUCAUCUGAAUCUUCAGAGGAUGCUACUCGAUGGUCUUGGUCCUGCUCUAAGAAGAGAUCCUUUGUCUCUACUAAAAAGGAUGCAAAGAAACACUGGUCUUCUCCUUCUAGAUCUAUGACGGGUGAAUACAUGCAAAAAUUCUGGGGAGUUGAACAGAAGAUCAAGUUUGAGGCACUCUAGAGCAGACCCAUUGUCCCCAAACGAGUCAUCAGUCUCUUCCAACCGAAGGAUUCUCAGUUCUCUGUAGGUACUUUUCUUAAAGCCCAAAAACUUGGUCUAAUUUUUACUCUCCGUAGUAAUAAUUUGUAUAUAGAUGUUGUUCAUUUUUCUAUGUGAAUCUUUGUGUUUCACCUGAUUGUGGAGAACUCGAAACCCUCGUCCUAGUUAGUCAAAUUGUUGUGAAUGAUCGUUUGUUGGAGGAUGUGCUUGGUACUAAGUUCUCAGGGGAUAUUCCAUAUAUGAAUGGUGUGUGGAACACUGAUUUUGAAGUAUCUGUGGAAGGUGCGAAAAUGGUCGUGGCUGAACCCGUUCUGACUUCUCUGAUUUUUGGCCUUCAUCGUUGUGCUUUGAAAAUCGUAUUCUUGCUCAUAUUGUGGCUACUUAUCUCCUUCCUCGUAAGGGUUAACUCAACAAAAUCACCACACAUGAUGUCUUUGUUCUUUACUGAUUGUUGAAAAAUUACAGGAUCAGUUGGGCCUCCUGGUUCAAAGAAUAUAUGAUGGUAAGUGCUACUGACCCUAAUGGGACUGCCAAUCUGCCUUAUGGUCUUUUGAUUUCUCACAUUCUGUGGAUCAUCUUGUUGAUCUCUCAACUUUAAUGCUUCUCGAGAUCAUCGCAACAUAUGAUACCCACACUUUUUCAAGUAUAGGAUAUGUACUUGUUGGAACUACAUGGCUUAAGAAGGAAUCAGUCAAGGCAAGAUCUAAAUCUGUUAACGUACUCGGGAUGUGUUUACUCUAUUGCUGUUCUCCUUAAGGACUCCAACGAAAUCAAGGCAUGACUCACUGCGCUGGAAGACAAGUUUGAACAACUUCUCUGCACCACAAAUAAACUUGUUUGGCUCAACAAAGAUACCACUACUGAUGUUAGUAAAUUACAUCUUGCACUGACUGGUCUCAAGAAGGAUGGAAUUGCCACAUUGAAUUUGUUGAUGAAUCAAGUCGACUUUAUGAAUUCAUGAGUCAGCUCCUCCAACACAGAACUGGUUGUGAAUGUUCAGACCUCGUACUCCUCUUUUGCAAGAAAUAUUGAGAGCUCUUACAAUGUUUUUGCAGGAACGUGCUCAACACACUUAAGUACUUUCUUUGUUAUCACUGAUUGUGGUCUACUGUUUUGUUUUACACUAUUUUCAAUAGGGGUGUGUCCCUAAACUUCCUUGUUCUAGACUCUUUAAGAGGUAGACUGUUCACCUCCCUACUACUAUUUUAAUUUUCUUGUUAUGAUAUUAACUGUUAUCUGUCGAUUAUGUUUUUUAUGAUGCCAAAUGGGGAGAACUCUUCCCACAAAAAUAUUCCAUCAGAUACAGGUGCACUCCAGUCAAGGAGAGUCUCAAUAAACUCUCAACGACCCAAAAGACAUGCAAAUCGACAGGGGGAGCCUCAGGGAAGUUUUAUAAUUUUUUUAUUGAAUUUUAUUUAUGGGAAACUUACUGUCAUUAUUAAAAAAGGUUAGAUUGUUAGCCUCAUAAGCAUUAAAAGUAUUUUGAUAAUAUCUCGUUUGAUGAUUUAUAUGGUUUAUUAUUCAAUGAAGAAUGGUAACUAAUGAGAGAUGAUAGUCUUAAUGUCAUAGCUCCCAUAGCACAAUAUACUGAAAGUACUAUUUGCAUCAUAUCUUCAACCUUCAAUAUGUCCAUAUUUAUUUUUCACAAUUCUGAAGAAGAAUUUCAUAUCGCAUGAGUUUACCCACCACCCAAGACAUCUACUAGCACUCAAGUUUCUUGACAACCUAGCAAAUACCUUCACCUACCCAAAUUUUGUUGAUGGAUAGUGGCACCAUGCAUCAUCUAAUCUUGAUAACCUUGGCAUUUACUCGGACUAUCAAAGUAUCAAGGAAUUAACUCUAGGUCGUGACUCUAAAUUACCAAUAUCUCAUAUUGGUCCACGCUUUAAAUCUGACAUUGUUUCUGUUGAAUCCUUUCCAAAUCAUUUUUAAGGAUUUGGCAACAAGGAUACCACUACAUAAAAUGUGGACUAAUAGUGGACAAUAUUCCCUUUCAAUGAAAAAAAUACCCUCUCCAACUUCCUUUGCAACUUCUCUUUAUGUUUGGCAUACAUGUCUGACUUAUGCAUCCUACAUUACCGUUCGCCAAGCAUUACCAUCUAUUAUUUUGAGUGUAGUGAAUCUUCGAGUUUAUACACUAACUGCGUUAUUAGCAAACGACAUAAUAUUUCUUUUGGUGAAUUUAGUUUUUAGGUGUAACUGCUUGUUAUCAUCAUUAUGGAUAAUCCAAUGGGGAAGGAAUUUGGGCCAAAAAACUUUUGAAAUUAUGAAAUUUCUAGCCUAGGUCUGACUUGGACAAAAUUUGAUUCAGGUGAGGUCUAGGGUAAUCAGGAAAUGGAUGAGGGAUUUGAUUAUGAAUUUUAUCAUUUAAGUGGAUCGCCAAGAUGAUAAGGAGCAUGUUCGACUUUACAUAUUCGAAUUUUGACGAGUAAAACUCCUGUAAUUGAUAUUAGCUUGAAAGGGUGGUUUUAGAACAUCAAGUUUGAGAGUGUGUUGUAAAUUGGAUAAUUGGAACAUAAAGUUUGAGUCUCUGUCUCUAUGCAAUCCACCAUAGAGGGAUUAUUCCUUCCAUGGCGGGCCAGUCGCGAGUAAAAAUGGAAAAAAUCUCAUGAAUAUUAUAUUUUUGCAAACUUCAUUCUUGGAGAGCAAAAGGGCGACCUAGGGUUAUUUCUUCUUUUUUUCACUAAUUCUCGUGCUAAAGUACACGACAUCUUCAGGCAGCUAUUGAGAGAACACAACAAGGAGAUCACUGACUUGUUGAGUUCAAGGGUGAGCCACUUCCUUCAGGCUACUAUGGGUUCAUCUAGGAUCUUAGUCCAUUCCCUUUGAACUUAGACCUUUCAGACUCUUUACUUUUUUUAGUGGUUUUGGGGAUUACAUCUCCUAAUCGUAGGCUGUUUAGUUAGAAGUUUUGGUACAACGACUUCAGGUUCUAGGGGUUUCUGUUAUAUAUGGCACUGAUUUUUAUGGAGGACCUUUUACUCCCCUACAAAUAGUGUAUUUAAAGGUAUAUAUGUGAUCACGUGGAUAUGAUAAAUAUUGCAUCAUUUUAAAUAGUAAUGUGUCCAUGUGGACACAAAUAUACCUUCAAAAUACUCUUUUAAAAAGUGUAGGAGGGGGGGGGGAGGAGUAAAAGGUCCUUCAAAAAGUUUUGUAUCGUAACAGUUAUUUCGGCCAAAGUUGGAGUAUUUUUCAGACCCUUUUCCCUUUUCUUUAUUGUAAUGUAGAUCCCUCUCGUGCAUAUCAUGUGUGUCUUUUCAAACGAUCAUUAUAUGGCCUUAAACAAGCUCCUUAUAUGUGGAACAAAAUAUUCGUUGAUGUUCUCACUUGACUAGGAUAUUCAAGUUCUAAGACACAGAGUUCUUUCUACUAUGUUUCUACUCCAAGUGACAAUUUUUUGGUCUAAUAUAUGUAAAUGAUAUUUUGGUACUUGAAAAUAACACUACUCGUAUUAAGUCUUUGGUUGCGCAACUUCAAUCAGAUUUGUAGUACGUGAUUUUUGGAAUAUUUCUUAUUUUUUUGGUAUUGCAACAUCUAUAACUGAUGAAGGAUUAUUAUUAUCUCAAAGGAAAUAUGCUGGGGAUCUCCUUUGUUAUUUUUUGAUGGACUUUUGCAGCCCUAUUAACAAUCUCAUUUUUUCCAUCAUCUACUCUCAUCAUCUGAUUGUGUUCCAUUCAAUGAUCCAAUGUUGUAUCAUAGCAUAGUUGGUGGGUUGCAGUGCUUGAUUUUUACGCGUUCGGAUUGGUAUAUGCAGUGAAUAAGCUUUCUCAAUUCAUGUAUUAUCAUAUGGAUAUUCAUUGGGUCGUUGUGAAAUGUGUAUUGUUAUAUAUCAAAGGUUCAUUAGCUCA